UUUAAGUGCAUCCUGUUUUAAUAUUUUAUCCCUAAUGUUUAUGGCAAAUCAUUGAGACAGAAAUUAUUCCCACAUUUAAAAUUAGGAAAUAGUGGAUUAGAAAGUCUGAAUAUUGUCUCAAGGUUACUCAGUGGUAGAUGGCAUUUGAACUCAGGACUUUCAUUUGCCAAAGUUCUUCCCACAGAGUCAGACUGUGAAGCAGAUUAAUUAAAUAGCUCAUAUUAUAUACCCCUUCCUACUACUUCCAACCCUGCACAGUUUCCCACUUUACUUUGAGGUAAAGAUCAAAUUAUUCAUCAUAUAGUUGAGGGCAUUGUCCCCUGUGGUCUCAGUUUCAUUCCCAAGCCUUCUUUCUCUUCUUAAUAUUCACAUUCUGUCCUCUACCUCAGGUUUCCAUAGCUGGUUGCCCUGACAGUCGUUUUGAACAUUCUUGGUUGUGAAUUUGUACCAUAAUUUUACAAGAUGUUCUCAGUGGGGGAAAUUGAUUAAAAGGAACACAAGAACUCUCCGCAUUAGUGCUUACGGCUUGAUGAGAAUCUCCAUUCAACUCAAGAUAAAAAGUUUAAUAAAAAUCAAAUCUCCCAUUGAGUCUAAUGGACUUCUACUGUCCUUCAAAAUACUAAGGGUGUAGGUAUGUAUCUAAUUAUAGUUCCCAAAACUCAUUCUUUUCUUUCUUGUUUUGAUUAUCCUUUCUUUUCAACUCAGGAACUCGGAAAGCUUCCCAUCUCUUCUGUACCUUAGAGUUUCAAAGAAUUGUUGUCACCUUCUCCCUUCCUCAUACAUGUGUUCAUCAGAUAAAAUUGUCCCAAACCCCUGCUGAGAGAUGAUCUGUGUGAGAUCUUCGUGAGGAAGAACACAGAAAACCUCAGGGUCUUAUCUGCUGGGGGCCAUCUGUUUUACGCCACCAGGCUGGUCACCAACAGUCCAAUAAAGGAGACUCUUCAGCUGGGGGAAGUGGUUGAGAAGGAAAGGGAAUCAAAAUAGGCACAGUCCCUGGAGCUGCAGACCUCACUCUCCACUGCCUUCUCUGUUUCAGGUAGGUCAGGUGGGGAUGCUGUGGAGGUAGCCCUGGUGUGUCACAUUGCUGUGAGGACUGCUGCAGACUUGAUAAGAUGUCUCUCUUCUCAUCAUGGAUCAGAGUUAUUAUCAUUAUUGGCUUGGCAUUUCCUCUUUAUUUUGGUGAGUAAAAUUUUCAGACCUGGAUGAAGCAACUAACAUAUUUUAGGAAAUGUAGGAAACAACUGCUAUUAUCUAGGAAUGAAGGAGAUUGCUGUUGGGUGUGUAAUACUUAAACGGGCAAAAUGAAAUGUUACAAAUACCUAUUUAAAAAUUACAUCAGUAGAUUGCUUUUUCUCAUUUCCCACCUUAGAAAGGUAGAGACAGAGGGGGUUAGAAUGAGCAGUAAA
Molecule: long non-coding RNA, 1406 nt
Filed under: Phocoena sinus (vaquita)
Lineage: Eukaryota; Metazoa; Chordata; Mammalia; Artiodactyla; Phocoenidae
Description: lncRNA (ENSPSNG00000000281.1)
Source: RNAcentral